Molecule: long non-coding RNA, 401 nt
Filed under: Prunus persica (peach)
Lineage: Eukaryota; Viridiplantae; Streptophyta; Magnoliopsida; Rosales; Rosaceae
Description: long non-coding RNA (PPER_LNC007586)
Source: RNAcentral
AUGGAUUAGGGUCCAUCCUUCUGGGUCUAUAUGGCAAUACUGCUGGUGGUUCAGGCAGAAGUGCCAAAGGUUGAUCAUGCGGGGCCACAUGAGGUGGAAUGGGCUGAGGUUCUGGCUGGUUCUGCUGAGCUAGUGCAAGGUCAUCUGGUCGGGCUGGGGCUUCGUGUUCUUGAUUAGGAAGGGCUCCUUCCCUCGGACCAGCCUGAAUUUCUCUGUGGUCUGGUACUCCAGCCAUUUGUGCAACUAGGGGGUUUUCCUGGUAUAGCCAUGCUAGUCCUGGCGGAGGGCCAUAAGGGAGAUCUAACUGCUGGACUACAGCAUCCGGGUUUGGGAUUCUGGCCAUGGCGGAUUCUCGGUCCUUCCGGAACUGUCUGUCAACCUGUCAUUGCAUCAUGGCUGUC